This is a non-coding RNA of Cicer arietinum (chickpea), 843 nucleotides long. Lineage: Eukaryota; Viridiplantae; Streptophyta; Magnoliopsida; Fabales; Fabaceae. The record is from RefSeq and is a predicted model, not a curated record.
AAUUAAUUAAAACAAGACUUUCCUCUCUGGCUUCCUCCAUGCAUAUAGAGUCAUAGCUAGCUAGCUAACCACAUUAGAAUAUACAAUUAUCAAUUAUAUUUUGUUAUUAUAAGAUCAAAUUGUCCCUAAAGAAAUGGGAUUGUAUUAAUUUGAUUCUUGACUCCUAAAUCACCCUUUCUCGUGUCCUUACAAGACAACUAAAGAAAACCUAUAAAGAUAAAUAUACCCUUAUGUAUAUUUAUUAGAAUCCGAAAUCCAAGGUAUUCAAAAGCAAAGCCCUUCAUUAUUCUCACUUUUUUUUUUGUUUCAACAACAAUAAUAAGUGAUAAAAAUUUAAGGUGCAUUUUAUGGCUGCUUCUAUGUCUUCUUUCUUACCUAUGAAACCAAGAGGAUUAUAUCUCAAGAGAUUCAACACACGUCAAAGGAUGCAAGUAAUAAAAGUACAAAACUAUCAAGAUGAAGGAAGAUCCACCAAUAUGGUAGAUGCAAAUUUGUAUGUUCUAAAGGAGAAGAUAGAGAUGGUGAAGGUGAAGGAAAGAUUGGAAAGGUGUUGCAAAUGUCAACAUGGUUGGAAUUAUGUCCCACUUUCUAUUAAUGAUUAUCAAAAAACCAAAAGAAACAAAGAAUUGAACAACUUCAUUGAGUUGACAAUUUUAGUUUGUGGAACUAUUGGUCUUACUUGUUUUGUUGGAACCCUUUUCAUUUUCCUUGUUUCAUUACUCAUUCAUUUGCAAGUAUGAUUUUUUAAAAUGUAUAUUGAUAGUCACUUUCUAUUACAUUUCACUGUUGGAUAGAGCAAUUUUUUUCGUUCUAUUUCUAUUUCUAGUAAUUAUUCAAUAUAAA